This 177-nucleotide ribosomal RNA is filed under the name uncultured Gammaproteobacteria bacterium. Its description in RNAcentral is "partial 16S ribosomal RNA". It matches the Rfam family "Bacterial small subunit ribosomal RNA", at positions 338 to 507 of the family's 1533-position model. The record is from RNAcentral. Lineage: Bacteria; Pseudomonadati; Pseudomonadota; Gammaproteobacteria.
UCUACGGGAGGCAGCAGUGGGGAAUAUUGCACAAUGGGCGCAAGCCUGAUGCAGCCAUGCCGCGUGUAUGAAGAAGGCCUUCGGGUUGUAAAGUACUUUCAGCGGGGAGGAAGGGAGUAAAGUUAAUACCUUUGCUCAUUGACGUUACCCGCAGAAGAAGCACCGGCUAACUCCGUG